CAGAAAGGAUAUGAUCGUUUGACCGGGAUUUUAUGAUAUUUUUCGGUCAAAAGGAAAGUCCGGGCUCCGCCGGAAAAGAUGCCGGGUAAUAACCGGGCGGCCGACGAUUUUUCGCCGGCUGACAGAAAGUACCACAGAAAACAUACCGCGUAUGAGUUUUCGUACGUAAGGGUGAAAAGGCGAGGUAAGAGCUCACCGUGUUUCCGGUAACGGAAACGACAGGGAAACCUCAUUUGGAGCAAGGCCGAAUAGGCAGUUAUGUUUUCCGGACAGUUACGCUGCGGGUAGGCUGCUAAAAACACGGAGCGAUCCGUGUUUCAGAUAGAUGAUCAUGCCGGCCGGAAUUACGGCCGGAACAGAACCCGGCUUAUAUCCUUUCUGUUUU
This 385-nucleotide RNase P RNA is filed under the name Treponema parvum. RNAcentral's name for it is "RNase P RNA component class A". It matches the Rfam family "Bacterial RNase P class A". From Rfam's summary of the family: Ribonuclease P (RNase P) is a ubiquitous endoribonuclease, found in archaea, bacteria and eukarya as well as chloroplasts and mitochondria. Lineage: Bacteria; Pseudomonadati; Spirochaetota; Spirochaetia; Treponematales; Treponemataceae. The record is from RNAcentral.